RNAcentral lists this transfer RNA (74 nucleotides) under Anaerolineaceae bacterium. Its description in RNAcentral is "tRNA-Arg". It matches the Rfam family "tRNA". From Rfam's summary of the family: Transfer RNA (tRNA) molecules are approximately 80 nucleotides in length. Their secondary structure includes four short double-helical elements and three loops (D, anti-codon, and T loops). Further hydrogen bonds mediate the characteristic L-shaped molecular structure. tRNAs have two regions of fundamental functional importance: the anti-codon, which is responsible for specific mRNA codon recognition, and the 3' end, to which the tRNAs corresponding amino acid is attached (by aminoacyl-tRNA synthetases). tRNAs cope with the degeneracy of the genetic code in two manners: having more than one tRNA (with a specific anti-codon) for a particular amino acid; and 'wobble' base-pairing, i.e. permitting non-standard base-pairing at the 3rd anti-codon position. RNAcentral also lists the same sequence under 1 other name. The record is from RNAcentral. Lineage: Bacteria; Bacillati; Chloroflexota; Anaerolineae; Anaerolineales; Anaerolineaceae.
GCCCCAGUAGCUCAACAGGACAGAGCAAGGCACUCCUAACGCCUAGGUUGAGCGUUCGAGUCGCUCCUGGGGCA